This 484-nucleotide ribosomal RNA is filed under the name uncultured bacterium. RNAcentral's name for it is "partial 16S ribosomal RNA". It matches the Rfam family "Bacterial small subunit ribosomal RNA", at positions 30 to 507 of the family's 1533-position model. The record is from RNAcentral.
AUUGAACGCUGGCGGCAGGCCUAACACAUGCAAGUCGAGCGGAUGAAGGGAGCUUGCUCCUGGAUUCAGCGGCGGACGGGUGAGUAAUGCCUAGGAAUCUGCCUGGUAGUGGGGGAUAACGUCCGGAAACGGGCGCUAAUACCGCAUACGUCCUGAGGGAGAAAGGGGGGGAUCUUCGGACCUCACGCUAUCAGAUGAGCCUAGGUCGGAUUAGCUAGUUGGUGAGGUAAAGGCCUACCAAGGCGACGAUCCGUAACUGGUCUGAGAGGAUGAUCAGUCACACUGGAACUGAGACACGGUCCAGACUCCUACGGGAGGCAGCAGUGGGGAAUAUUGGACAAUGGGCGAAAGCCUGAUCCAGCCAUGCCGCGUGUGUGAAGAAGGUCUUCGGAUUGUAAAGCACUUUAAGUUGGGAGGAAGGGCAGUAAGUUAAUACCUUGCUGUUUUGACGUUACCAAAAGAAUAAGCACCGGCUAACUUCGUG